This 253-nucleotide ribosomal RNA is filed under the name uncultured bacterium. RNAcentral describes it as "partial small subunit ribosomal RNA". It matches the Rfam family "Bacterial small subunit ribosomal RNA", at positions 26 to 285 of the family's 1533-position model. The record is from RNAcentral.
AGGACGAACGCUGGCGGCGUGCUUAACACAUGCAAGUCGAGCGGAAAGGCCCUUCGGGGUACUCGAGCGGCGAACGGGUGAGUAACACGUGAGCAACCUGCCCUCAGCUCUGGGAUAGCUCCGGGAAACCGGAUUAAUACCGGAUAUGACCCUGACUGACAUCGGUCAGGGUGGAAAGGAUUCCGGCUGAGGAUGGGACUCGCGGCCUUAUCAGCUAGUUGGUGAGUAACGGCCCACAAGGCGACGACGGGUA